RNAcentral lists this ribosomal RNA (510 nucleotides) under uncultured bacterium. Its description in RNAcentral is "bacterial SSU rRNA". It matches the Rfam family "Bacterial small subunit ribosomal RNA", at positions 775 to 1276 of the family's 1533-position model. The record is from RNAcentral.
AGUAAAUAGAUACCCGGGUAGUCCUGGCAGUAAACGGUGCACGUUUGGUGUGGGCGCAAUCGACCGCGUCCGCGCCGGAGCUAAACGCGUUAAACGUGCCGCCUGGGAAGUACGGUCGCAAGAUUAAAACUCAAAGAAAUUGACGGGGACCCGCACAAGCGGUGGAGUAUGUGGCUUAAUUCGAUGCAACGCGAAGAACCUUACCUGGUCUUGACAUGCAUUGUGUCUCCGGUGAAAGCCGGAUAGGGCAGCAAUGCCCGCUUUGCACAGGUGCUGCAUGGCUGUCGUCAGCUCGUGUCGUGAGAUGUUGGGUUAAAGUCCCGCAACGAGCGCAACCCCUGUGAUUUGUUGCCACCGGCUUAUGCCGAGCACUCGAAUCAGACUGCCUCGAUCAACGAGGAGGAAGGUGGGGAUGACGUCAAGUCCGUAUGGCCCUUACGACCAGGGCUGCACACGUACUACAAUGCUCAGCACAAUGUGAACCGAUGCCGCGAGGUGGAGGAAAUCAAC